RNAcentral lists this ribosomal RNA (672 nucleotides) under uncultured marine bacterium. RNAcentral's name for it is "bacterial SSU rRNA". It matches the Rfam family "Bacterial small subunit ribosomal RNA", at positions 56 to 774 of the family's 1533-position model. The record is from RNAcentral.
UGCAAGUCGAACGAAGUAGCAAUACUUAGUGGCAGACGGGUGAGUAACAUGUAGGUAUCUGCCCUUUGGCCUGGAAUAACACGAGGAAACUUGUGCUAAUACCGGAUAAGUCUUUACAGAGAAAGCUUUAUGCACCAUUGGAUGAGCCUGCACUUGAUUAGUUUGUUGGUGGGGUAAUGGCCUACCAAGACUGUGAUCAAUAGCUGAUUUGAGAGGAUGAUCAGCCACAUUGGGACUGAGACACGGCCCAAACUCCUACGGGAGGCAGCAGUGGGGAAUCUUGCACAAUGGAGGAAACUCUGAUGCAGCGAUGCCGCGUGAGUAAAGAAGGCCUUUGGGUUGUAAAGCUCUUUCGUCGGGGAAGAAAAUGACUGUACCCGAAUAAGAAGGUCCGGCUAACUUCGUGCCAGCAGCCGCGGUAAUACGAAGGGACCUAGCGUAGUUCGGAAUUACUGGGCUUAAAGAGUUCGUAGGUGGUUGAAAAAGUUAGUGGUGAAAUCCCAGAGCUUAACUCUGGAACUGCCAUUAAAACUUUUCAGCUAGAGUAUGAUAGAGGAAAGCAGAUUUUCUAGUGUAGAGGUGAAAUUCGUAGAUAUUAGAAAGAAUACAAUUGCGAAGGCAGCUUUCUGGAUCAUUACUGACACUGAGGACCGAAAGCAUGGGUAGCGAAGA